Molecule: ribosomal RNA, 466 nt
Filed under: uncultured bacterium
Lineage: Bacteria
Description: partial 16S ribosomal RNA
Rfam family: Bacterial small subunit ribosomal RNA
Source: RNAcentral
GAUGAACGCUGGCGGCGUGCUUAACGCAUGCAAGUCGAACGGAAAGGCCCAAGCUUGCUUGGGUGCUCGAGUGGCGAACGGGUGAGUAACACGUGGGUGAUCUGCCCUGCACUUUGGGAUAAGCCUGGGAAACUGGGUCUAAUACCGGAUAGGACCAUCGUUUAGUGUCGGUGGUGGAAAGUUUUUCGGUGUGGGAUGAGCUCGCGGCCUAUCAGCUUGUUGGUGGGGUAAUGGCCUACCAAGGCGUCGACGGGUAGCCGGCCUGAGAGGGUGUACGGCCACAGUGGGACUGAGAUACGGCCCAGACUCCUACGGGAGGCAGCAGUGGGGAAUAUUGCACAAUGGGCGCAAGCCUGAUGCAGCGACGCCGCGUGGGGGAUGACGGCCUUCGGGUUGUAAACUCCUUUCGCCAAGGACGAAGCGUUUUGUGGCGGUACUUGGAGAAGAAGCACCGGCUAACUACGUG